Molecule: ribosomal RNA, 119 nt
Filed under: Pteropus alecto (black flying fox)
Lineage: Eukaryota; Metazoa; Chordata; Mammalia; Chiroptera; Pteropodidae
Source: RNAcentral
GUCUAUGACCGUGCCACCCUGAACAAGCCCAAUCCCAUCUGAUCUUGGAAGCUAAGCAGGGUCAGGCCUGGUUAGUACUUGGAUGGGAGAUUACCUAGGAAGAUCAGGUGCUGUAGGCA